ACAUCCAGCGAACUUGGCAGAGAUGCCUUGGUGCCUUCGGGAACGCUGAGACAGGUGCUGCAUGGCUGUCGUCAGCUCGUGUUGUGAAAUGUUGGGUUAAGUCCCGNAACGAGCGCAACCCUUUAUCCUUUGUUGCCAGCGAUUCGGUCGGGAACUCAAAGGAGACUGCCGGUGAUAAACCGGAGGAAGGUGGGGAUGACGUCAAGUCAUCAUGGCCCUUACGAGUAGGGCUACACACGUGCUACAAUGGCGCAUACAAAGAGAAGCGACCUCGCGAGAGCAAGCGGACCUCAUAAAGUGCGUCGUAGUCCGGAUCGGAGUCUGCAACUCGACUCCGUGAAGUCGGAAUCGCUAGUAAUCGUGGAUCAGAAUGCCACGGUGAAUACGUUCCCGGGCCUUGUACACACCGCCCGUCACACCAUGGGAGUGGGUUGCAAAAGAAGUAGGUAGCUUAACCUUCGGGAGGGCGCUUACCACUUUGUGAUUCAUGACUGGGGUGAAGUCGUAACAAGGUAAGCGUAGCGAG
This 526-nucleotide ribosomal RNA is filed under the name uncultured bacterium. RNAcentral's name for it is "bacterial SSU rRNA". It matches the Rfam family "Bacterial small subunit ribosomal RNA", at positions 984 to 1509 of the family's 1533-position model. The record is from RNAcentral.